CCCGCUGAACUUAAGCAUAUCACUAGGCGGAGGAAAAGAAACUAACAAGUAUUCCCUGAGUAACGGCGAGUGAAACGGGAAAAGCCCAGCACCGAACCCCGCAGUGUUUCACUGUUGGGACAUGUGGUGUUAAGGUGGUGCUAUCCGGCAUUGCUGCGCGCUCUAAGUUCUCUUGACCGAGACCACAGACCAUAGAAGGUGCGAGUCCUGUGAGGGUGCGCGGCGUGUCGGUGUGUGCUACCGUGGAGUCGAGUUGCCUGAGAUCGCAGCUCAAAGCAGGUGGUAAGCCUCACCUAGGCUAAAAUACACCCAUGAGACCGAUAGCAAACAAGUACUGUGAAGGAAAGUUGCAAAGAACUUUGAAGAGAGAGUUCAAGAGGACGUGAAACUGCUCGGAAGGAAACAGGUAGAGCUACUGAUAGUGUGCGUGUUACAGACUGGCGAUUGGCGGCCGCGUGCAUUGCGAUUCGUAAGAUUGUGGUGUGCGUGCGCUGUUGGUUGUCGGUUGCAUUUCACGCACAUGCGUGCCGAGGGCGAUCGGUUGUUCCUUGUGUGCGCGUCGGUAGACGGGACUCCCCGGAGUUACCAGCCGGCGUAGCGCACUUGUGUAACGGCUAAUUGUUUGUAUGCCGGCGGUGCGCAUUCGGGUGCAUCGGCUGCUGUCUGUGUGGGCAAGCGCUUGCGCAAGUUCGUGCGGAUGGUGGUUGGUGUGCCCAUUUGCCGUCUGGUGUCGUCUCGGUGUACAAGGUGGCCACCUACCUGACCCGUCUUGAAACACGG
RNAcentral lists this ribosomal RNA (780 nucleotides) under uncultured fungus. Its description in RNAcentral is "eukaryotic LSU rRNA". It matches the Rfam family "Eukaryotic large subunit ribosomal RNA", at positions 24 to 664 of the family's 3401-position model. The record is from RNAcentral. Lineage: Eukaryota; Fungi.